AACGAACGCUGGCGGCAUGCCUAACACAUGCAAGUCGAACGAGACCUUCGGGUCUAGUGGCGCAAGGGUGCGUAACGCGUGGGAACCUGCCCUUAGGUUCGGAAUAACUCCCCGAAAGGGGUGCUAAUACCGGAUAAUGUCUUCGGACCAAAGAUUUAUCGCCUUUGGAUGGGCCCGCGUUGGAUUAGCUAGUUGGUAGGGUAAAAGCCUACCAAGGCGACGAUCCAUAGCUGGUCUGGGAGGAUGAUCAGCCACACUGGGACUGAGACACGGCCCAGACUCCUACGGGAGGCAGCAGUGGGGAAUAUUGGACAAUGGGCGAAAGCCUGAUCCAGCAAUGCCGCGUGAGUGAUGAAGGCCUUAGGGUUGUAAAGCUCUUUUACCCGGGAUGAUAAUGACAGUACCGGGAGAAUAAGCUCCGGCUAACUCCGUG
RNAcentral lists this ribosomal RNA (433 nucleotides) under uncultured bacterium. RNAcentral's name for it is "partial 16S ribosomal RNA". It matches the Rfam family "Bacterial small subunit ribosomal RNA", at positions 29 to 507 of the family's 1533-position model. The record is from RNAcentral.